AGAGUUUGAUCAUGGCUCAGAUUGAACGCUGGCGGCAUGCUUUACACAUGCAAGUCGAGCGGCAGCGCGGGGGCAACCCUGGCGGCGAGCGGCGAACCGGUGAGUAAUACAUCGGAACGUGUCCCGUAGUGGGGGAUAGCUCGGCGAAAGCCGGAUUAAUACCGCAUAUGCUCUACGGAGGAAAGCGGGGGAUCCGCAAGGACCUCGCGCUAUGGGAGCGGCCGAUGUCCGAUUAGCUUGUUGGUGGGGUAACGGCUUACCAAGGCGACGAUCGGUAGCUGGUCUGAGAGGAUGAUCAGCCACACUGGGACUGAGACACGGCCCAGACUCCUACGGGAGGCAGCAGUGGGGAAUUUUGGACAAUGGGGGAAACCCUGAUCCAGCCAUGCCGCGUGAGUGAAGAAGGCCUUCGGGUUGUAAAGCUCUUUUGGCCGGGAAGAAAAGGCUACGGAUAACACCCGUGGUCCUUGACGGUACCGGCAGAAUAAGCACCGGCUAACUACGCGCCAGCAGCCGCGGUAAUACGUAGGGUGCGAGCGUUAAUCGGAAUUACUGGGCGUAAAGCGUGCGUAGGCGGUCCGCAAGUCCGUUGUGAAAGCCCCGGGCUUAACCUGGGAAUGGCAGUGGAAACUAGGGGACUUGAAUCUGGCAGAGGGGGGUGGAAUGCCACGUGUAGCAGUGAAAUGCGUAGAGAUGUGGCGGAACACCGAUGGCGAAAGCAGCCCCCUGGGCUGAGAUUGACGCUCAGCACGAAAGCGUGGGGAGCAACAGGAUUAGAUACCCUGGUAGUCACGCCCUAAACGAUGAUCACUAGUGUUGGGGAAGCGAUUUCUCAGUACCGCAGCUAACGCGUGAAGUGAUCGCUGGGAGUACGUCGCAGAUUAAAACUCAAAGGAUUGACGGGACCCGCACAAGCGUGAUGAUGUGAUUAUUCGAUGCACGCGAU
This 946-nucleotide ribosomal RNA is filed under the name uncultured bacterium. RNAcentral describes it as "bacterial SSU rRNA". It matches the Rfam family "Bacterial small subunit ribosomal RNA", at positions 8 to 965 of the family's 1533-position model. The record is from RNAcentral.